RNAcentral lists this long non-coding RNA (6924 nucleotides) under Hordeum vulgare. RNAcentral's name for it is "long non-coding RNA (HVUL_LNC017252)". The record is from RNAcentral. Lineage: Eukaryota; Viridiplantae; Streptophyta; Magnoliopsida; Poales; Poaceae.
CAAUGAGUGUCUGGUCAUCAUGGAUUAGAGGUCAGGUUUUGCGUCACGAAAGAUGGAAGCAAGAGCUUUUGUGCGCUGUUAACAUAUGGAUUUCGUGCAUAGUGAGUGUAUUUUCGGUGAUUUUACCAAAAGAAUGGUUUUGGAAGGUGAUGCAUGAUAAAAAUCCAUAUUAUCUGGUCAAUAGUUCAACUAUGUUUUCUAGAGUUUUCGAGUCGUUUGCCUAGCACCAAAGAAACCUCACGAUUCUAGUACAUGUUAAUCCCCACCCACACAGAAUAUUUCUGAUUAUUUAUUGGCAAGAAUUCCAGUCUCGGAUUAUUACUUUGCCAACACACAUCUAAAAAAAGUUCUUCAAAAUUUGGGCAUUUAGAGAAAAAGACUUGUUCGAGAUGUACAACAUGAGAUAUGUCUCGUGUGUGACGUAUCAUGGAUAGAGGACGGUGUAUUUUGUAACAGUGUGGUGAAAGACAGAGUAACGUGGCUGGAUCUCACACAUGGAAAGUCCUCACGUGUUGAUGGAUAGAGCACCUACCGUCUAUAUAUAUGGGCAUUAAAGUUAAGUUAUCACAAUCUCUGCCCGCUCACCAUCUCAAUAUCUGCUCACUCCCCACUCUUCGUCCAAUUACAUAUGCUCCAGCCACGACAUUAGCUCAUGACAAAUAGGUGACAAACACCUACAUGGAUCUUCCCGUGUAAAAGGAAAAAAAAACGCAUGUUACCUUGAGAAUAGAGGAUAUUGGGAAGGGUUCACUUACUGAUUAGGAAUGACAAGGCAUUGCAUGGUGUGAUGCCUCGGGGAAACAACAUGCUACUUUGCAAUCAUCAUCUGAGGGUCGCAUGAUCUGUUAGAAGUGCUUGACGAAGUUGCAACCUGUCCUCGACGAUCGUCUAUGUGGGAUUACGUUCCAGCGGCACCACAUUCAUAUCCUUCUCGAGCUCCCGGCGAUGACCUCGCUAUUGGCUGCCCCGUUCACACCUAUCAUGCCGGCUCACGUGCCAAUCACCAUCGCCCUCUAAGGGUGCCACCGUCAGUGAGUGUCUAAUCAUCAUGGAUUAGAGGUCAGGUUUUGCGUCACGAAAGAUAGAAGCAAGAGCUUUUGUGCGCUGUUAACAUAUGGAUUUCGUGCAUACUGAGUGAUUUGGCAUUGGAAGGUGAUGCAUGUUGGAUUCUGACCGUGUAAUUGUUGGAAGACGUCCAUGCCUGCAACCUGACCGAGUCUUGCGGGAGGAGAUGCGCCCGCGCACGUCGCCUUGCAUGCGCUCCUCCGGCGCACGUCGCGCCUGCAUGCGGCCGUGCCGUUAUGCACUCCUACCACCUCCGACGCUAGUGCCGUUGUAGUACUCUCUGUGUAUAUAUAUAUGUGUGUAACAGCUGAUGAUCAAUAUACGGUGAAGACCACCUUUCAUCUUGGUAAUCAGAGCCACGCCUUCCUCCUUUUUUUCUCGGCCAUGGCUUCUGACGCGCCCUCCGGCGAACACCCAGGCGACUCCCCUCCCCCCACAAACCCGGUGCUCUCCUCGCCUGAGCCCGCCUCCCCCGUCGCCGCGGUCCCCCCCAGCCACGGCCUCCUCCGCCAUGACCCUGCCGGCUACUCCCCUCCUUACCGAUGCCACGGCCUCCUCCUCCGCCACCACCGUCCCCUCCAUCCACUCUCUCCACAACAUCGGCAAUCUUAUUCCCUUUAAGCUGGAGGUCCAGUCCGGCAGCUACUCCAAGUGGCGCGAGCUCUGGCGCUGCGUCCUUACCAUGUACGCCGUGCAGCACCAUGUCACCAGCUACUCCGCUCCCGACCAGCAGACCCCCGCCUGGCGCCACACCGAUCUUACCCUCCUCCUACUGCUCUACACCACCAUCAUCGAUGCCCUAUACGAGGUCAUCCGCGGGGACGCCAACACCGCCUUCAUCGCCUGGAACAAGCUCCAGGAAUUCUUCCUCGCUCACCAGCCAGCGCAGGCGGUCCACCUCUCCGCCGAGUUCCGCGCUCUCUCUCAGGGCGACCUCCGCAUGGCCGAGUACUGCGCCCGCCUCAAGGCGCUGGCCGAUGCUCUGGCCGACGUUGAUGAGCCCGUCAAGGAUCGGACCCUGACGCUGCAGCGGCUCCGCGGGCUCUCCCGCCGUUAUCAGGUGAUCGCCACGGUUCUGCCCAUGCAGACCCCCUUCCCCUCCUUCAACGAGGCCCGCUCGCGCCUCCUCCGCGAGGAGAUCCAGCAGGACGCCCGCGGCCGCUCCGACGGCUCCACCACCCUCUCCAUCGGCAUCGGUGGCGGCGGCGGCCCGUCCACCGGCACCAGCUCCUCCUCGAGUGCUCCCCACUCCUCCAGUGACCGCGGUGACCGCGGCAAACAACCGGCCGAUCCCGCUCCUCGCGGCGGCGGCACCAACCGCGGACGCGGCCAGGCGCGCGGUCGCGGACGCGGCAACGGGCGUGGCGGCGGCUACACCGGUGGACGCGGCCAGCCGCAUCUGGCUCCCGGGGGCACACCCCCUGGAUGGGGUACUUUGCACCGUGGGGCGCCCCCUUCCCUCCCCAGGGCCAUGCACCCUGGGUACCUCCCAACGCCGCCGGGGUGCUCGGGCCCCGCCCUGGCAACCCCGCCCACACCUACCCCGUCAUCUACCCCGGCGCCCCCACGCCCGCCAACGCUCCACCGCCUUCUUCGUGGGACCAAGCCGGCCUCAUCGCCGCCAUGCAAAACAUGACGAUGCAGCAGCCUCACCAGCCCGGCGAGUGGUAUCUCGACUCCGGCGCCUCAUCCCAUGUCACCGGCAACCCAGGUAACCUCGACUCGUUCUGUUCUCCUCCUAAACACUCCUCUCGCAACAUCAUUGUCGGGGAUGGGUCUCAUCUUCCCGUUGUUGCCACCGGCUCUACCAAACUCACCUCUCGCCCGUUUUACCUCCGCAACAUCCUCUACUCUCCUCAUGUUGUCACCAAUCUUAUUUCUGCGUCGUUUUUGUAUUGACAAUUCUGUCACCAUUGAGUUUUACCCCUUUGGUUUUGUUGUGAAGGAUCUAGCAACUCGGACCCCGCUCAUGAGCUCCAGUAGCUACGGCCAGCUGUACUCGUUCUCCGGCGGCAACACCACCAACACUGACGCGUUCUCCGUUGGUGUCGGCACCCUCUGGCAUCGGCUGCUCGGCCACCCCAGCGCUGCCUCUCUUUCGCGUUUAGCAAAAGAUUUCUUACCAACUUGUAAUAAACAACUUCACCCGCGUGGUGCUUGUGAUGCUUGUCAAUUAGGCCGUCAGGCCCGUUUACCCUUUCCCGAAUCUACGUCCUUUACUACAUCUCCGUUUCAACUCAUACAUUGUGAUCUCUGGACUUCUCCCACUGUGAGUUUCUCUGGUUAUAAAUAUUACUUGCUUGUCCUGGAUGAUUUCACGCAUUUUUCGUGGAGCUUUCCCCUCCGCAACAAGUCUGACGCUGCUGCCACCCUCGAACGCUUCUACACAUACGCUCUCACCCAGAUCCACGUCGCCCUCCGGUGUGUGCAAUGUGACAACGGCGGUGAGUUCCUUAACGUUCGCCUCCGCACCUUCCUCUACGACCGCGGUGUCACCCUCCGUCUCUCCUGCCCCCACACCUCUCCACAGAACGGGAAAGCAGAACACGCUAUUCUCUCCACCAACGACAUCCUACGCACCCUUCUACUCCAAGCCCACAUGCCACCCCCCUUCUGGGUCGAAUCCCUUCACACCGCCACAUACUUACUCAACAUCCGGCUGUCCCGCGCCAUUUAUGAUCAAAUCCCCUACUAUCUUCUCUACGGCACCUCCCCCAACUAAUCCUCCCUCCGCGCCUUUGGGUGCUUGUGCUACCCAAAUCUCUACGCCACCAUGCCGCACAAACUCGCCCCUCGCUCGGUCCGCUACGUCCUUCUCGGCAUGCCCCUCGAACACAAGGGAUAUCGGUGCCUCGACCUUCAAACCCGACGCGUUAUCACCUCCCGCCACGUCGUCUUUGACGAAGAUCAGUUUCCCUACGCUGCCUUACCCGUCGGCCACACCACUGCACGUGAACUAACCCCCCCCCGGCCACAGAAAAUCCACACCGCUUCCACCUCGGCCCCACUUCACCACCACCUCCACUACCUGCGCACCUGCCACCUGCAUCCUUCCCGGAUCGCGCGCCUCCCUCUCGCGCGGCCUCUGCACCCCCCGGGCCCAGCCAGUCCGCUCCGGACCCUGCGCCUGCCGCCCCGGGAUCCGCGCCUGUCGCCUCGCCAGCACCCAGUCCCCCACCUCCGGGAUCCGCGCCUGUCGCGCCGCCGGGAUCUAGUCCCUCGCCCCCGGGUACCGCGCCAGAUAACAACAACCCACCCUCCCCCAUGCAUGCACGCGCCUCACCGUCGCCCGUUCGCACGCCGCCCCCGCAUGCAACCGUCCUCCCACCCCGCGCAGUACCUAUCGCCCCAUCGAAAAACCUUCAUCGCAUGCGCACACGCGCCAAGUCCGGCUUCCUCCAGCCCAAGAAACUCAUGACCGUUUCGACAGCCACCACCACCGUCUCUCCCAUCCCUGCCAGCUACAAACAUGCCCUCAAGGACCCCAACUUGUACAAUGCUAUGCUUGAGGAGUUUAACUCUUUGGUGGCAAACAAAAUGUGGUCUUUGGUUUCUUGUCCUGCAGGUGUCAACGUGGUGACCGGGAAAUGGAUUUUUCGCCACAAGCUUCACCCUGACGGAUCGCUGGCCCGGUACAAAGCUCGCUGGGUGCUACGCGGCUUCACUCAAUAGCCUGGCAUUGACUACGGGGAGACCUUCAACCCCGUCGUCAAGCCGGCGACCAUCCACGUCAUCCUUAGCCUCGCCGUCAGCAACAAGUGGGCUAUCAACCAGCUCGACGUCAAGAAUGCCUUCCUCCACGGCACUCUCGACGAGGUCGUCUACAGUCAGCAACCGGCCGGCUUCCUCGACGCUGCUCGCCCCUCCGUCGUGUGCCAGCUUCACAAGUCCCUGUAUGGGCUCAAACAGGCUCCGUGGGCGUGGUUCCAGCGCUUCACCACGUUUCUCCUCUCGCUCGGCUUCGUGGCAUCCAAGUGUGACUCCUCCCUGUUCAUCCUUCGCCGCGGUGCUGACAUGGCCUACCUUCUCCUGUAUGUAGAUGAUAUCAUCCUCACCGCUAGCUCCUCCACGCUGCUCGCCUCUAUCACCACCGCUCUCACGUCGGAGUUCUCCAUGACGAACCUUGGUGCCCUCCACCACUUCCUCGGCAUCAAUGUGCAACGCAGCGCCCACAGCUAGUUCCUCUCGCAGCAGCAAUACGCGCUCGAGAUCCUCGACCGCGCCUCCAUGCACAACUGCAAGCCUAUCUCCACUCCCGUUGACACAAAAGCCAAACUGUCUGCCACCGCCGGCGCCCCCGCCACUAAUCCCUCUCUGUUCCGCAGCCUUGCCGGUGCUUUGCAGUACCUCACGCUCACGCGCCCUGACAUUGCCUACGCCGUCCAGCAAGUCUGCCUCGUCAUGCACUCGCCACGCGCCCCGCAUGUCGCCCUGCUUAAGCGCAUCUUGCGCUACCUGCGCGGCACCACUCACCUCGGGCUUCAUCUCCGACCCGCCGCCUCGUCCCAGCUGGUCGCCUACACUGACGCCGAUUGGGCAGGCUGCCCUGACACUCGCCGGUCGACCUCUGGUUUCUGCAUGUACAUCGGUGACAACCUUGUGUCCUGGUCCUCGAAGCGGCAAACAACCGUGUCCCGGUCCAGCGCGGAGGCUGAAUACCGCGCGGUGGCCAAUGUGGUCCCCGAAUCGUGUUGGCUUCGGCAGCUCCUCCAGGAGAUCGGGCGGCCACCGGAGCGCGCCAUCGUCGUCUACUGCGACAAUGUAUCGGCCACCUACCUCUCCUCCAACCCGGUGCUCCAUCAGCGCACCAAACAUGUGGAGAUCACCUCCACUUCGUUCGCGACCGCGUCGCCUUUGGAGACGUCCGCGUUCUCCAUGUCCCCACUACGUCGCAGUUCGCCGACAUCUUCACCAAGGGGUUGCCCACGAGCGUCUUCAUCGAGUUCCGGUCCAGCCUCAACGUCGUCGACGACCCCGUUUCAACUGCGGGGGGCUGUUGGAAGACGUCCACGCCUGCAACCUGACCGAGUCUUGCGGGAGGAGAAGCGCCCCGUGCACGUCGCCCUGCAUGCGCUCCUCCUGCGCACGUCGCCCCUGCAUGCGGCCGUGCCGUUACGCACUCCUACCACCUCCGGCCCUAGUGCCGUUGUAGUUCUCUGUGUAUAUAUAUGUGUGUAACAGCUGAUGAUCAAUAUACGGUGAAGACCACCUUCCAUCUGUAAUUCCCUUGAACAAUUUAGUAAUAAUGAGAAAAAUCCAUAUUAUCUGGGCAAUAGUUCAGCUAUGUUUUCUAAGGUUUUUGGGUUUUUUUGCCUAGCACCAAAGAAACCUCACGAUUCUAGUACAUGUUAAUCCCCACCCACACAGAAUAUUUCUGAUUAUUUAUUGGCAAGAAUUCCAAUCUCGGAUUAUUACUUUGGCAAUACAGAUAUAAAAAAAGUCCUUCAAAGUUAAACCCCACCCACACAGAAUAUUUCUGAUUAUUUAUUGGCAAGAAUUCCAGUCUCGGAUUAUUACUUUGGCAAUACAGAUAUAAAAAAAAAUUCCUUCAAAGUUUUGGUAUUUAGAGAAAAAGUCCCCGUUUCGAGAUGUACAACAUGAGAUAUAUCUCGUGUGUGACGUAUCAUGGAUAGAGGACGGUGUAUUUUGUAACAACGUGGUGAAAGACAGAGUCACGUGGCUGGAUCUCACACAUGGAAAGUCCUCACGUGUUGAGCACCUACCGUCUAUAUAUAUGGGCAUUAAAGUUAAGUUAUCGAUAUCACAAUCUUUGCCCACUCGCCAUCUCAAUGUCUGCUCACUCCCCACUCUUCGUCCAAUUACACAUGCUCCAGCCACGGCAUUAUCUCAUGACAUAUA